This 3190-nucleotide unclassified non-coding RNA is filed under the name Daphnia magna. Its description in RNAcentral is "uncharacterized LOC116926364, transcript variant X15". The record is from RNAcentral. Lineage: Eukaryota; Metazoa; Arthropoda; Branchiopoda; Diplostraca; Daphniidae.
CCUUUAGUAACAAAGCUUUCCCCGAGGGCAGUUCGUUUUCUUGUUCAGACUUGAGAAGUCUGAGAUGGUUGACAAAAUUGGUUGUCCUUUCAAGCAAAACAGCUGUCGCCAGCUGCACGCAUUACAUUCGUCGAAAAAGUCAAUUAGCGUAGGAAGGUUUGAAGGACAACCGUUUCGUCAACAUCCCCAUACAUCUCCCUCAGAACACGUGGGGAUUAAAAGAAAUGGCGGCGAUUCUCACCCAUUCUCCAGAAGACCAAGGAGUUGCAGUCGAAAAGGCAUUUUGUGUGUUAAACUGAAUUCGCAAAAUGGCGCCAUUGCGUCAAAGAGAUUCUCAUCUCCCCUACUGCUGAAGGAGGCAAAAACUUGCCGAUCUCCUAUUCCCGUUCAUGUUUCAAGCACAAUCUUGUCAUCCAAAAUCUGAAAAACAGCUUACGUAGCAUUCGUUUUCAUUGAACCUGAUACACUUCCUCGGAAAUGCAGCUAGGAGGACACACUUGAUUUGCUCGAGUAUUCAUCGAAAAAUUCUCCGCAGUGAAAUGAAUUGAUCAAUAAAACUCUCAGGGAGUUUCAAUAUCCGAAAAUCGUUAAACAUUGCCAUGGCUUUAAAGAAGUCGGGUGGGAGGGUGGCAUACGCCCAGUCUCUUACUAAUUUUUACCAUGUGGCGACGUUGCAAUGGGCGGGAAUCAAGAGUAACUCGGUGCAAAUUGCUCCCUACCUUACAAAACUCGAGGUAGCUUUUUAUUUAAAUAUUCAUGAGCAAAUCGAAAACUUUUUCAAUCGUUAUUGAAUAUUGAGUAUUCAACCUUUUUGUCCAGCUGUUAUUCCAUUUCACAUCUCAUUGUUUGCAUAGUUGUGCUACCAGGAACUCCCUACUUACGACACCGACUAACUGACAAUCUUUUGGUCCCAAGAAGGGAAAUAUUCUUCAGUUAAGUUUAAAACAAUAGGCUGCUGUUUUGUUGACCAGUUGCUGGGCUGUCAUGUCAAUGAAAUAACCAACAAGUGCAUGGCAACUGAAGUGGAAGAACUCUGCAAGUGCUAGACAACACUUUAGGCUGCUACCUUUGUCUGAGGCUUACAACAUGGAAAAUGGCAGACUAGUGGUCCCGUCCCCUGUCACAAGAAUAGCCGUACAAUAAGCCACGAACGGUGAACUCGUCAUGAAUGCAGCAAGCUCUUCAUCUCGAACGAUAAAAGAAAAGAGCUUCAGUCCAAAUCAGCCGUGAGUGCAUAGUGGUUUCGCGGUUUAUGGUACUAUCAUUAAAUCAAUAGAGCCCGAAAUGCUGAGGGAAAAACUCUUUUCAAAUCUUUAUACAUUGGAGCAACGCUGGUGAUUACGUCAAAACGAGGGAGAAAGAGAUCUAAAGAAAACAUAAAAAAGGCUUAGGCUGUGUCCUGUGAUGUGUGAAAGAAUAAUCAUCGUUAUUACUAUAUUAUUUACAGAUGACAGUAGUUUUCGGUGAAGGGAAUAUUUCAUUAGAUAUUCAGGAAGGCGAUGAAUCUGUAAGGGUGUAGGGGGACGUCACCGCUUGUUGUCACUACAAAGUAGAUUGCUGUGCAGGAAUAAAUUGUGAUUUUGAAGAGACUCGUGAAAAUUCCUUGUGCUUCAAGAGGACGACAUCACUUUGAUUCCAUUUUGAUCGUCCCCCCCUUCCCCCAAAAAAAUUAAGGCUUGGGACGCAUCGUAUGACAAAUCGAAAAGGAAGGAAAGGCGCCUGGUGAUAUGGUGGAGUUACGAAGACGAAGGAUUGGCUAUAUAUUCUACGCCUUUAUACACAUUGACGUAAGAAGAGAUCGCGGGAUUUCUUUUCUUUUCUUUCUUGAUUUCUGGAAAUCACCGGAAUGCUGUGCAAACAAACCAGGCGGAAAUGUAUACAGAAGCAAGUCGGCAGGCCUGUUUAAUAUCAAUACUUCCGAAACGUAAAGCAAAGACAGCAGCGUAAACGAAUGGCAGUUACGCAACAAAAUGGAUUUUUGGUUCGUGUAAUCUUUUACAAAGUUCAUCCGCACCCCGUGACUCUGCUUCAGGCGUCUAACAUGCGCGGCCUUCAACACGACCAUAAUGAACCUGGGGGAUCUCCAAGAGCAUCAGUUUACCCAAACUUUUGGUACGACGUUUGGCUAAGCAGUUUGUUGCCCAGCUGGGGCGUGAAUCAACUGUUUCCCUAUUGACGGAUUAACCGUGUAACCCUCCAUUGGUUUUUGUUUGUACCUGCAAUCAGAUGACGGGAAAACUAAUGGCGGUGUAACAUCCUCGGCUGGGUUACGUGCCUUACGCUAAUGGAGAUUUUCUGGAGUCUUUCGCGUCUCGCGUUCAUAGGCCGAUGGUUUUUCGUCUGCUGCAGCCGCCCCUUUGGUUUCAUUGGUCACGGGCAGUGGUGUAAGGUCAUCCGUUCCGCAUCCGACGUCUCUUCCCUUAGCCUUUACAAGUUGAGGAAGAUCAUCCGUGUCGCAUCCGACAUCUCGCUUAGUAAUUUGAGCGGUCAUCUUCAUUUGCGAUUCAGAAGCGAUCAAAAGACUUUGAUGUUAUUCCAUUUUCGCAAUCGUUUCCAUCGCAUUCUCAAGUGCCAACUUCAAAGUUUUCAUUUCGGAUUGAAUGGUUUGCAAGUCUUUGAUCAAUUUCUCUUUUCCUUGUCGGGUUGUAGGCUAACAGAAACAAUGUCCUCCUUCAUUUGUUCCAGAACAUGAUUUACCGUCCAUUUUGAGUGCUCUGAGACAACGUCCUGUGACGAGAUAUGUUCUUGAAUGCUUUCUAUUUUUGGGAGAGAAACCUCACCAACAACCCUCAUCGUUCGUUAACUCAAGUUUUCUCAACCAUUUUCGUUUUUAAUUCAUUUAAAAUCAAAGUUUCAACAAACCUUUCAAAAUAUUUCUUUUUUUUUUUGUGAAAAAAAAUUUGUAUUCUGAUUUUGCGACCGUCACUCCGCUUGCCACUCGUCUUUUGUUUGCGAAUAACAAAUACCUGAUUGUCCAUUGCACCGUGGGCUUCUUACAUAUAGACUUUCCAAGUGUUUGGACGAGGCAUCAACGUACAGCAUUUGAUUGCUGCCAUUUUGCUCCCGACGUCAAAGAAACGUCCCUGAAGCCAGAUGUCUAUUAUUGUUAUUUUCUACCUUUUGUUGCCUCAUUUGUCACUGUUAAAUGAUCCAAAUCAGCUUGCCAAAAGAAUAAAAUCCAAUCAAGGGA